GGCUUUAUAGUCAAUAAUGAUAUUAGACUGCAAUUCUAAAGGAAUAAAUAAAUUAUUAAAGCUU
This 64-nucleotide transfer RNA is filed under the name Anopheles argyritarsis. RNAcentral's name for it is "tRNA-Cys". Lineage: Eukaryota; Metazoa; Arthropoda; Insecta; Diptera; Culicidae. RNAcentral also lists the same sequence under 4 other names. The record is from RNAcentral.